GUUUUCUUCUCUCCCGUCUCUCUCCAAACCCAAACGUUUUCUUCACCACCGUCCCUCCCUUCUCUCUCUUAACUUUCACGGACGGAUUGAAAGUGGGUCAUUUUUCACGUUGAUUUGGGGGCUUUCGGAGGGGGUGCAAGACGCAAAGAAGGCAAAGCUAUAGUAUUCAAGGAUUGGAAAUGAAGUCGUGUCUGCGCAAGUUACUCCAUUUUUAGUUAACUUUUUCUUGAAUUCAUAGUCUGAAAGUAAAUUAAAAAAAGAUGGAGGGUAGUCUUGCAAAGAGCUCUACUCAAAAAGUUUGAAGCUAUCAAUUAUGUAUUUAGGUUCUUCUUCAACUUCCAUAAGUGAAUAAAGUGAUUCACAUUGUAUGGCUGUAAUUUAUCUUUUUUGAUAUGAAUCUGGUGGAACUGGGUACUUGACUUGCUAUCUUUCUUUCCUACUUUUCUUUUUUUCCAAAGAUGUUAAGAAAUUAAUCCAAGUCCUUGGUUGAGUUACUUCCAAUUAAGAUUAUUCCCAUGAACACCUCGUAUCUGAACAUUUAGUAGGUUUUCUAG
Molecule: long non-coding RNA, 554 nt
Organism: Alnus glutinosa
Lineage: Eukaryota; Viridiplantae; Streptophyta; Magnoliopsida; Fagales; Betulaceae
Exons: 4
Source: RefSeq, a predicted model, not a curated record